This 465-nucleotide ribosomal RNA is filed under the name Vreelandella stevensii. Its description in RNAcentral is "partial 16S ribosomal RNA". It matches the Rfam family "Bacterial small subunit ribosomal RNA", at positions 338 to 795 of the family's 1533-position model. The record is from RNAcentral. Lineage: Bacteria; Pseudomonadati; Pseudomonadota; Gammaproteobacteria; Oceanospirillales; Halomonadaceae.
CCUACGGGAGGCUGCAGUGGGGAAUAUUGGACAAUGGGCGAAAGCCUGAUCCAGCCAUGCCGCGUGUGUGAAGAAGGCCUUCGGGUUGUAAAGCACUUUCGGUGGGGAAGAAAGCCUUGGGGCUAAUACCCUCGAGGAAGGACAUCACCCACAGAAGAAGCACCGGCUAACUCCGUGCCAGCAGCCGCGGUAAUACGGAGGGUGCGAGCGUUAAUCGGAAUUACUGGGCGUAAAGCUCGCGUAGGCGGUCUGAUAAGCCGGUUGUGAAAGCCCCGGGCUCAACCUGGGAACGGCAUCCGGAACUGUCAGGCUAGAGUGCAGGAGAGGAAGGUAGAAUUCCCGGUGUAGCGGUGAAAUGCGUAGAGAUCGGGAGGAAUACCAGUGGCGAAGGCGGCCUUCUGGACUGACACUGACGCUGAGGUGCGAAAGCGUGGGUAGCAAACAGGAUUAGAUACCCCAGUAGUC